Molecule: long non-coding RNA, 133 nt
Organism: Bos indicus x Bos taurus (hybrid cattle)
Lineage: Eukaryota; Metazoa; Chordata; Mammalia; Artiodactyla; Bovidae
Source: Ensembl
UCUCAGGGCAUCAUGGCGGGUGUGUCUGAGCUGGAACCAAGAGGGGAAGAUGCCUCCUUCCUGCUGUGAAACUUGAGGAACCUUCCUGGGAUGAUUUUACUGUGAUGUGCCUUCUCUUCCAUGAAGGUUAAAG